This 130-nucleotide ribosomal RNA is filed under the name Ganoderma sp. GanO-17. RNAcentral describes it as "partial 5.8S ribosomal RNA". It matches the Rfam family "5.8S ribosomal RNA", at positions 31 to 154 of the family's 154-position model. Rfam says of the family: 5.8S ribosomal RNA (5.8S rRNA) is a component of the large subunit of the eukaryotic ribosome. It is transcribed by RNA polymerase I as part of the 45S precursor that also contains 18S and 28S rRNA. The record is from RNAcentral. Lineage: Eukaryota; Fungi; Basidiomycota; Agaricomycetes; Polyporales; Polyporaceae.
UUCAUCGAUGAAGAACGCAGCGAAAUGCGAUAAGUAAUGUGAAUGCAGAAAUUCAGUGAAUCAUCGAAUCUUUGAAGCGCACCUUGCGCUCCUUGGUAUUCCGAGGAGCAUGCCUGUGUGAGCGUCAUGA